AGCGAACGCUGGCGGCAGGCUUAACACAUGCAAGUCGAACGCCCCGCAAGGGGAGUGGCAGACGGGUGAGUAACACGUGGGAACGUACCCUUUGGUUCGGAAUAACUUGGGGAAACUCAAGCUAAUACCGGAUAAGCCCUUAUGGGGAAAGGUUUACUGCCGAAGGAUCGGCCCGCGUCUGACUAGCUAGUGGGGGAGGUAACGGCUCACCAAGGCGACGAUCAGGAGCGGGUCUGAGAGGAUGAUCAGCCACACUGGGACUGAGACACGGCCCAGACUCCUAAGGGGGGCAGCAGUGGGGAAUAUUGGACAAUGGGGGCAACCCUGAUCCAGCCAUGCCGCGUGAGUGAUGAAGGCCUUAGGGUUGUAAAGCUCUUUUACCCGGGACGAUAAUGACUGUACCGGGAGAAUAAGCCCCGGCUAACUUCGUGCCAGCCGCCGCGGUAA
Molecule: ribosomal RNA, 447 nt
Filed under: uncultured bacterium
Lineage: Bacteria
Description: partial 16S ribosomal RNA
Rfam family: Bacterial small subunit ribosomal RNA
Source: RNAcentral